GACGAACGCUGGCGGCGUGCUUAACACAUGCAAGUCGAACGGAAAGGCCCUGCUUUUGUGGGGUGCUCGAGUGGCGAACGGGUGAGUAACACGUGAGUAACCUGCCCUUGACUUUGGGAUAACUUCAGGAAACUGGGGCUAAUACCGGAUAGGAGCUCCUGCUGCAUGGGGGGGGGUGGAAAGUUUCGGGGGUUGGGGAUGGACUCGCGGCUUAUCCGCUUGUUGGUGGGGUAGUGGCUUACCAAGGCUUUGACGGGUAGCCGGCCUGGGAGGGUGACCGGCCACAUUGGGACUGAGAUACGGCCCAGACUCCUACGGGAGGCAGCAGUGGGGAAUAUUGCACAAUGGGCGGAAGCCUGAUGCAGCAACGCCGCGUGCGGGAUGACGGCCUUCGGGUUGUAAACCGCUUUGGCAUGUGACGAAGCGUGAGUGACGGUAAUGGGUAAAGAAGCACCGGCUAACUACGUG
Molecule: ribosomal RNA, 468 nt
Filed under: uncultured bacterium
Lineage: Bacteria
Description: partial 16S ribosomal RNA
Rfam family: Bacterial small subunit ribosomal RNA
Source: RNAcentral